CCUUAAUAGAAGUAUGAUUUUAAUAUAACACGACCAUCCGGCACAACGUGAAGCAAUCGGCUUUUAGCGUGACCACCUUCGCUCUCGUGCACACGCAACGUGGGAUACUCUCGGGAGCGGCUGAGCCUCGGUUGAGUACCAACUGCGCAAGCGGGUACGAGCUAAGCUCGACGAACAUGUAGUCUCACUACUGAGUCAGAUUUUGUCGAAUGAAGUUGGGAAGUGCCGCUCCGAUUUCCGAGAGUUAGUCGCCGUUCAGAACAUCUACUGAGUGAAAAGGAAUUGAAAAAAGUCUAGCCGUUGGAUUUAGAUAACCGUGAAGAAUCGAAGAGAGUGAAACAAAACACAUUUCCAGUUUCAGAAGGUGGGAUUCUCCAAUAGAUAGCGUAUUUCGGAUAGUUACAGGAAGGUGAGUAAACAAUACCCCGAUAUGUCAUCAUUUAUCACUCAGCUUAAAUGGCUGGCAAAAAGGUGUGACUUGUUGAAAGGAAGGUAGAUCUGUGUGGAACUAACACAUUUACAGGUUAGUUGAAGAUUGCCUUUGCCAUUUUGGUGGAGUGUGUCUACCUGCUAUGUCGCUGGCUUAAACUGAUCGCAGUCCAUUCAGAAUGCAGAUAUGAUUGAGCUCCCUUGUCUAUUUUUGAUUUUUCCAAGUCGCUAGUUGGCUCUGAGAGAAGACGUUGACAAAUUACCCUAAAUAUGACGAGAAAGAAGCCAUCUCCACACCUAUUGAGGUCAAACGGUUAGAAAGGCUAGCAUUUUAUUAUCAUUGCCUCACUCCCACUAGUUGGAAAGUAACAUAAAAAAGUCAACAUUGACAGCUUCAACAUAAAUCAUGCGCAAGAUGAAAUUCAACCGGUCCCGUUAUGCUUUAUUCAGGUUCGUUCCCCUGUUUUAGCACUGCACAGUAGAUACGACCACUGCAAUACAAGAUGCAUCAUGAUCAUCGUCCCUUGAUCGCUUUUGUUCUCCUCUAUGUGAAGCAGAAAAACCGCAGUUCCCCUUUUUUCGCGAUCAACGCUUCACAGGCCAAACGUAGAAACACACACCUUUUGUUGUAACCUUUACAACUCGCCGCCGACAUCCGUGGGAGGGAACGACAGUGCUGCCAGCUCGAACUAGCACCAUUGCAUCAAUUGGUGCAAUUGGCUAAUAUGAUUGACGAAUUGACGAAAAAACCGCUUCCUGUUCCAGAAUGAAAGUGUGCAGGUCCACAGUGCGAGUGCGGCAAGAUCAAACGAUGCCCUGUAACUGCCAUCAUAUCUUCAGACCUCGAGUCGGCAAAAAGCAACGACGAAAAAG
Aedes albopictus (Asian tiger mosquito) is the source of this 1302-nucleotide long non-coding RNA. RefSeq lists it as uncharacterized. The transcript has 2 exons. Lineage: Eukaryota; Metazoa; Arthropoda; Insecta; Diptera; Culicidae. The record is from RefSeq and is a predicted model, not a curated record.